GACGAACGCUGGCGGCGUGCUUAACACAUGCAAGUCGAACGGAAAGGCCCUGCUUUUGUGGUGUGCUCGAGUGGCGAACGGGUGAGUAACACGUGUGUAACCUGCCCUUGACUUUGGGAUAACUUCAGGAAACUGGGGCUAAUACCGUAUAGGAGCUCCUGCUGCAUGGUGGGGGUUGGAAAGUUUCGGCGGUUGGGGAUGGACUCGCGGCUUAUCAGCUUGUUGGUGGGGUAGUGGUUUACCAAGGCUUGGACGGGUCGCCGGCAUGAGAGGGUGACCGGCGACAUUGCGCCUGCGGUACGGACCAGACUGGAACGGGAGGCAACGGUGGGAAAUCUUGCACAGUGGGCGCAAGCGUGAUGCAAAAGCGCUCCGUUCGGGAUGACGGCCUUCGGGUUGAAAACAGCUUUCGCCUGAGACGCAGCGGGAGUGACGGUACUGAGUGAAGAAGCACCGGCUAACUACGUG
Molecule: ribosomal RNA, 468 nt
Filed under: uncultured bacterium
Lineage: Bacteria
Description: partial 16S ribosomal RNA
Rfam family: Bacterial small subunit ribosomal RNA
Source: RNAcentral